GAAAUGCGAUAAUUAAUGUGAAUUGCAGAAUUCAGUGAAUCAUCGAGUCUUUGAACGCACAUUGCGCCCUCUGGUAUUCCGGAGGGCAUGCCUGUCCGAGCGUCAUUGCUGCCCUCAAGCACGGCUUGUGUGUUGGGCCCUCGUCCCCCCCGGGGACGGGCCCGAAAGGCAGCGGCGGCACCGCGUCCGGUCCUCGAGCGUAUGGGGCUUCGUCACCCGCUCGUUAGGCCCGGCCGGCGCCAGCCGACCCCCCCUCAAUCUUUAACCAGGUUGACCUCGGAUCAGGUAGGGAUACCCGCUGAACUUAA
RNAcentral lists this unclassified non-coding RNA (308 nucleotides) under uncultured Penicillium. Its description in RNAcentral is "sequence contains ITS1". The stretch from base 1 to 105 matches the Rfam family "5.8S ribosomal RNA", at positions 50 to 154 of the family's 154-position model. Lineage: Eukaryota; Fungi; Ascomycota; Eurotiomycetes; Eurotiales; Aspergillaceae. The record is from RNAcentral.